Molecule: long non-coding RNA, 2319 nt
Organism: Oncorhynchus kisutch (coho salmon)
Lineage: Eukaryota; Metazoa; Chordata; Actinopteri; Salmoniformes; Salmonidae
Exons: 4
Source: RefSeq, a predicted model, not a curated record
UUUAAGCUAUUUAAACCUACUUACUGCAAUAUUUCGGGUUUUAUGUAAUCGAGAGCGUCCUAUUAUCGGACCCUAGCAACUUGUUAAUCAGGUUGGUUGCCAAUUUCCCUAGCGCCUCCUUUCAUUAAAUCGGUGUACAGUCAGUUUGAUGCAACAACACAACAAUUGAAGAUGGUGAGAAGGAACAUCCUUAGCCGCUGCAAACAGACCCUAAAUGACUGCACUCGGCUUCUGCUCUCCGAUAAUCCUGGACUUGAUGCCCUUCAGUCCACGUUAAUCAAGCCAGUUCCGGUACCGGGCUCCUCGGACUUGGAGAGGAGCUAGAGGUGCACCUUGUUAUGCCAUCACUCAAGAGCAACUUUGCUUUCAGUGUGUCUCAGAUGGCAGAUAUUCUACAUGUGUCCCGAUCGACAGUCAAACGUCGUCUAAGACACUUCAAUCUGUCACAUGCACCGUUAUAUUCUGACAUGUCAGACUUGGCUUUGGAUGAAAAGAUUGAGGACUUGGUGGCUUGGAACGACAAACUUGGACCGGAGGAUGUUCGAGCACAAUUAAGGGCUCCGGGUGCAGAGAUGCAGAGCGAGGGCUGCCCUCAGAGACAUGUCGCAGAGGCUGCAUAGGAGGUCAUGCCGUGUUGCUGGACCAAACUCGUUAUGGCAUCUUGAUGGAAACAACAAACUGAUAAGGAAGAUGUAUUUUUCUGCUAGACACAAUUAUCCACAUCACUGGUGAGAAGUUGUACAUUGUAACAUCUCAAAUUCUUCAUCCUCAACUUGUUCAUCAACUACUAACAGUUCAGUAAGCAAUGGCCCUUGAUUCCAUAUGUCACUCAUGUGUAUAAUAACUGUUUUAUUGUGUUUCUGCUACUUCUGUGAUUGAUAGAACAUCUGCAUCAUGAAAUUAACAAACAUGCUUAUAUUGAGGACAUAUGGAGGCAAAAACAAUUGGAGCAAAGUAUUUGUGCCUAAGUGUGAACCACAGGAGAGUCUGUCCUCUUGACUCAUCAAGAUAAACGUGGUUAUUUUUCCAAUUGAAGUAGAUAUUGUUAUUAUACAUCUUCCACUGUUUCCUACCCUUGUUGUAGCCUUUAGAGGGCUAACGGAAGUACUUAUUGUUGUGAUCCGCGGUAGAUUGUUCAUUAACAUUGUUCCACAUUUGGAUGUUAAUUUAAUAUUUGGUCUGCUGCUUUGUUAUAUACUGCAGGAACCUGAUGCAGCAUCUAAGUGGUAAAGUAGGAUGGUGAUGUUUGUAUAUUUAAUGUGUCUUCAGCUUCUGUAUCAACCAGUGCUGUAUUUUCUGAUUUAGGUGGAGGAUAGUCAUACAUGGUGGCAUUGAUGGGUACAGCCACCUCAUUGUGUUUCUCUGUGCUUCCAGCAACAAUCGCAGCAGUACUGUAAUGGAUUGCUUCAUGUCACGGAUCCCUCAGGAACUGUGUCAUUACGCACACCUGGUCACCAUUCCCACUGAUUGUAAUUGUAUAAAUGUGCCCUUUGGUUCACCAUUGGGCUGUCGAUGAUUGUUACUAUGUCCAUUGCCGUGUAUGAGUACUUGUGUUUUGGCCUUUUGUGCCCUUGUGGAUUGCACAGAUGAUUACGGGUCUCAUCCACUGUGUUAAUCAUUGUGCGCAUGUGUUAUUUAUUCAAGGUACUCCUCGCUCUUUUGUUUGGGUUUCAACCCUGUGUUUUUGUUACGUGUUUGUUUGGUCUUCGUCCCCGUGCCUUUACACGGCAUGCCAUAAUUUGGGCUUAAUAAAAGAACAUUAGGCAUUCCUGCACAUGUCUCCCAAAUCCAUUCAUACCAACGUGACACAUGAAUGCUGUCUCCAGAUAUGGUGUUCCCUCCAGAGUUAGGACGGACCAUAGAGGAGAAAACAGCACUGUCUGCUUUCUCCAAUAAGACAUAUUGAAAAUAUGAUUUAAAAAAAGAGAGCUACAUGCAUCCUUGAAAUGUCUUCUUGACCUACACAUCGAUUACAUUCUAUAGUGAGUGAUGCAUGUAGCUACAUGUUUUUCUGUAAAUCAUUUUCAGAACGCAAUCACCUCAUGUUUGACAGCUUUAUUGCUUUCUCCAUGUUUUUGAAAUGUAUAAGCCUUUAAAUGACCUUUUACCGACUACUUCUACAAACAAGGCUACACUUGUGGCAGAACCUAUUCCUGUGCCCCCCCCACAUCUUCUGCACCACUUCCUGUGGCCCCCAUCCACCAUUCCCUGAGGCUUGUCAUCCAACUUCACCCCCCUCUUCUGUUGAUGUUGGUGAUGACAAUGAGUACGUCAUCCCUGUAAAUAAUUCAAUGCCUUAUUACAGAUGAAUUGUGGGAA